GAUGUGCCUUUUGUUUGGGGUACCGCACAGGAAGAAGCCUUCACGGUAUUGAAAGAUAAGUUGACACAUGCUCCUUUACUCCAACUUCCUGAUUUUAAUAAGACUUUUGAGCUUGAAUGUGAUGCUAGUGGAAUUGGAUUAGGAGGUGUGUUAUUACAAGAUGGCAAACCUGUUGCAUACUUUUCUGAAAAAUUGAGUGGGCCUAGUCUGAAUUAUUCUACUUAUGAUAAAGAACUAUAUGCUCUUGUUCGGACUUUAGAAAUAUGGCAACAUUAUUUAUGGCCCAACGAAUUUGUUAUCCAUUCUGAUCAUGAAUCUUUGAAACAUAUUAAAAGUCAAGCUAAACUGAAUCGUAGACAUGCUAAAUGGGUUGAAUUCAUUGAAACUUUCCCUUAUGUCAUUAAACACAAGAAGGGUAAAGAAAAUGUUAUUGCUGAUGCAUUGUCUCAUCGCUAUACUAUGCUUUCACAACUUGACUUCAAAAUAUUUGGUUUGGAGACCAUCAAAGAUCAAUAUGUGCAUGAUGCUGAUUUUAAAGAUGUAUUGCAGAAUUGUAAAGAAGGAAGAACCUGGAACAAGUUUGUCGUUAAUGAUGGAUUUGUGUUCCGUGCUAACAAGCUAUGCAUUCCAGCUAGCUCUCUUCGUCUUUUGUUGUUGCAGGAGGCGCAUGGAGGAGGAUUAAUGGGACACUUUGGCGUGAAGAAGAUGGAGGACGUACUUGCUACACAUUUCUUUUGGCCAAAGAUGAGACGGGAUGUUGAGCGUUUUGUUGCUCGCUGCACUACAUGUCAAAAAGCUAAGUCACGACUCAAUCCUCAUGGUUUAUAUAUGCCUUUGCCUGUACCUAGUGUUCCUUGGGAGGAUAUAUCUAUGGACUUUGUUUUAGGUUUACCUCGAACAAAGAAGGGGAGGGAUAGCAUAUUUGUUGUCGUGGAUAGAUUCUCGAAAAUGGCACACUUUAUACCAUGUCAUAAA
RNAcentral lists this ribosomal RNA (975 nucleotides) under Triticum aestivum (bread wheat). RNAcentral's name for it is "partial small subunit ribosomal RNA". Lineage: Eukaryota; Viridiplantae; Streptophyta; Magnoliopsida; Poales; Poaceae. The record is from RNAcentral.